This 309-nucleotide ribosomal RNA is filed under the name uncultured bacterium. RNAcentral's name for it is "partial 16S ribosomal RNA". It matches the Rfam family "Bacterial small subunit ribosomal RNA", at positions 504 to 807 of the family's 1533-position model. The record is from RNAcentral.
AGAGACAGCAGUAGCCGCGGUAAUACGUAGGGUGCAAGCGUUAAUCGGAAUUACUUGGCGUAAAGCGUGCGCAGGCGGUUGUGUAAGACAGGUGUGAAAUCCCCGGGCUUAACCUGGGAACUGCGCUUGUGACUGCACAGCUAGAGUAUGGCAGAGGGGGGUGGAAUUCCACGUGUAGCAGUGAAAUGCGUAGAUAUGCGGAGGAACACCGAUGGCGAAGGCAGCCCCCUGGGCCAACACUGACGCUCAUGCACGAAAGCGUGGGGAGCAAACAGGAUUAGAGACCCCAGUAGUCCCUGUCUCUUAUAC